UCAUCACCAUCAUCACCCUAUCUAGUCUUUCGGGGAGAUUUACGUAUACCCGGGAGCAAGAAUUCUCCCGGAGGUUAAGUCAAAGAAUUUAGAUUUAAACCCUCGGGACGACAAAGUCUUCCGAGGGUUUUUUAGU
Vibrio splendidus is the source of this 136-nucleotide non-coding RNA. Lineage: Bacteria; Pseudomonadati; Pseudomonadota; Gammaproteobacteria; Vibrionales; Vibrionaceae. The record is from Rfam.